AGUUUUUGCUUAGUGGUAGAGCACUUGUCUGGUGUGCAAGAGGCUCUGGGUUCAAUCUCUGAUACU
Molecule: transfer RNA, 66 nt
Filed under: Urocitellus parryii (Arctic ground squirrel)
Lineage: Eukaryota; Metazoa; Chordata; Mammalia; Rodentia; Sciuridae
Also listed under: 2 other names
Description: Spermophilus parryii (Arctic ground squirrel) tRNA
Rfam family: tRNA
About the family: Transfer RNA (tRNA) molecules are approximately 80 nucleotides in length. Their secondary structure includes four short double-helical elements and three loops (D, anti-codon, and T loops).
Source: Rfam by way of RNAcentral